RNAcentral lists this ribosomal RNA (427 nucleotides) under uncultured bacterium. RNAcentral's name for it is "partial 16S ribosomal RNA". It matches the Rfam family "Bacterial small subunit ribosomal RNA", at positions 355 to 774 of the family's 1533-position model. The record is from RNAcentral.
UGGGGAAUAUUGGACAAUGGGCGAAAGCCUGAUCCAGCCAUGCCGCGUGUGUGAAGAAGGUCUUCGGAUUGUAAAGCACUUUAAGUUGGGAGGAAGGGCAUUAACCUAAUACGUUAGUGUUUUGACGUUACCGACAGAAUAAGCACCGGCUAACUCUGUGCCAGCAGCCGCGGUAAUACAGAGGGUGCAAGCGUUAAUCGGAAUUACUGGGCGUAAAGCGCGCGUAGGUGGUUUGUUAAGUUGGAUGUGAAAUCCCCGGGGUCAACCUGGGAACUGCAUUCAAAACUGACUGACUAGAGUAUGGUAGAGGGUGGUGGAAUUUCCUGUGUAGCGGUGAAAUGCGUAGAUAUAGGAAGGAACACCAGUGGCGAAGGCGACCACCUGGACUAAUACUGACACUGAGGUGCGAAAGCGUGGGGAGCAAACA